UCAUCAUACGAUUUCCUCAACCCCAGCUGGUAGUGAAUCCACGGUGGAUCACAGAGUCGAACAGUCUCACAUUGACCUGUAUGACUCCAUCAUCUGUGUCUGCGGCCGAGUGUGUUUUGUACUUUAUGAGGACAAAAACUUUCAGACCCGUCUCCUGCGUGGAGACGCUGGCGGGUGCAGAUCUUCUGGGGAUGGUGCAGGAGAGCUCACCUGCUGAUGUUCAACUAACAUGUUAUUACACCGUAGAGCAGAGAGGAGCACGAUAUCAGUCUCCACACAGUGAUACCUGCGAGGUGCACAUAGAAAGACUUGAGGAAAAGGUGUUUACAACUACCCAGAUCAUGUCAACCAGUGUGACCAAAGGUAGGAUAAACAUUUGAAUAAUUAUCUACAACAUUCGAUCAGGGUUUAUUGGCACCUGGCACCCCCUCUAACAUUUCCUUCGACCGCGGCGUUCAGUUUACGUCUGCUCUGUGGAACGCCACAGCUAGCAGUUUGGGGGUUAAACUCCACCGCGCCACGGCCUAC
Long non-coding RNA from Cololabis saira (Pacific saury), 528 nucleotides. RefSeq lists it as uncharacterized. The record is from RefSeq and is a predicted model, not a curated record. The transcript has 3 exons. Lineage: Eukaryota; Metazoa; Chordata; Actinopteri; Beloniformes; Belonidae.